Molecule: small RNA, 660 nt
Filed under: Cystobasidium laryngis
Lineage: Eukaryota; Fungi; Basidiomycota; Cystobasidiomycetes; Cystobasidiales; Cystobasidiaceae
Description: eukaryotic LSU rRNA
Rfam family: Eukaryotic large subunit ribosomal RNA
Source: RNAcentral
CAAAAGUUAGAGGUGCUUCUAAUGCGCUAUUACAGCACUUUAAAUUUUAGACCUCAAAUCAGUCAGGACUACCCGCUGAACUUAAGCAUAUCAAUAAGCGGAGGAAAAGAAACUAACAAGGAUUCCCCUAGUAACGGCGAGUGAAGUGGGAAAAGCUCAACUUUGAAAUCUGGUACUUUCAGUAUCCGAAUUGUAGUCUCAAGAAGUGUUUUCUGUGCCGGUCCAUGUAUGAGUCUGUUGGAACACAGCGUCAUAGAGGGUGACAACCCCGUUCAUGACAUGGAUCCCGGUGCUUUGUGAUACACUCUCGAAGAGUCGAGUUGUUUGGGAAUGCAGCUCAAAUUGGGUGGUAAAUUCCAUCUAAAGCUAAAUAUUGGCGAGAGACCGAUAGCAAACAAGUACCGUGAGGGAAAGAUGAAAAGCACUUUGGAAAGAGAGUUAACAGUACGUGAAAUUGUUGAAAGGGAAACGAUUGAAGUCAGACGUGCGUGAUGCGGUUCAGCUCUAGUUCGCUAGAGUGUACUCCGUAUCUUUGCAGGCCAACAUCGGUUUUGUUAGUCGGAUAAAGGUUUGAGAAAUGUGGCACCUUCGGGUGUGUUAUAGUCUCAGACUGAAUACGAUUGAUGGGACCGAGGAACGCAGCGCGCCGCAAGGCAAAGG